Molecule: long non-coding RNA, 8940 nt
Organism: Vicia villosa (hairy vetch)
Lineage: Eukaryota; Viridiplantae; Streptophyta; Magnoliopsida; Fabales; Fabaceae
Exons: 3
Source: RefSeq, a predicted model, not a curated record
AUUUGGUCCACCACCUAACAUAAUUUCUAUAUAUCCAUGGAUCUGAAAAUCCUCUACCAUAUUAGAUAUCACUGACUAGAUUGAUCGAUCUAAAAGGCCUGACAGUGUACAAUAUUUUCAAUUCUAUCAGUCAUUUUGGAAUUUCCAUAAUUUAGGAGACUAGGUUGUAUUGUCAAUCAUUUUUUGCUUUAUCAGCUUCUCAUUCACUUAUCUGAUCAUUUUUCAUGUAUUUUUUGCAAUUCAUGUUUUUCUUUUCUCACAAUUUAGGGGUUUCAUAACUGGUUUGUCACUGUUCUUGAUUAGCUUGAAGAAUUUAGAUUUCACUACAAGGGUUUUAUAAAAUGGUAUUUGAUACAUGUAUUAUUUGCAGAUUUCAGCAAACAUCAAGCAAUAUUAUGCAACCUGUUAUUCUCGUAUUCGUUGGAAUGAUUCUUUUUGGUGGUCUCCGUGCACCCAAAGCCCGACAGGAACAAGAAAUACUAGUUCUGAACCACAAGACGAUAACACAAGAAGCAGAGAGAAUUCAAGAAAAAGAUCUAGGAGCUCGAAUGAAGUCCAAAGAUCUAGAAGAAUUUAGGAAGAAUAUGAGAUGUGGUUCUAUAGGUACUAAAGACUAUAAGUCCCGGUUCUCAGGAUCAGGCCUUAAGCAGUUGUUGUUUAGAGAAUGAAUUCAAUUAAUCUCAUGAGCUACUUGGAGGGCAUCUUCAAGUUUGAUCUAUAACAAUUCUGCAACAAUUGGUUUAAAAGGUCUUGUUCUUGCAUCAUUUUGUCCAUUUAAUUUACAAUUUCUAUAGACUUUAACAAUGCAUUAACCAAUUGCUUCAUAGUUUAAUUAACUUAAUACUUUGAAUGAAUAAAGAUAUCCAUGAUAUAAUUUAGUAUAAUGUUAAAGUUAUUUAGAGACUGGUUUAUUAUGCAAUAUAUAGAAUUAAGAUUAAGACAAAAUGAAAGUUUUAAACGGAAAUGUUAGUACUAAAACUGAUAUCCAAACCCUGUUUACAACACCAAUAUCAUAGAGAAAAUUGAAGUCAGAAAGAACGUUACAUAGAUAAAAUAGAUACUGUAGAAUUAUUUGCUCCAUGUUUUGUCUCUUACAAUUGACCUCGUAAGUUAGCGCGCACUUCGUAAUUCUCUGCGGAAAAAGCAUUGCUCAUGCUUAUAUAACAUCAUGAAGGUUUUCUAAAUAUUUGUGACUACUUAGUAUACUGGCUUAACCGCACACGUAGUCGAAACAUGGAAAUUCUAUCAUAGUUGAAACAACAGUUGAAGAUGAUAUUAUAUAUGCAUGACUGAAAAUAGAUGGAGUAAAACUGCUAUAUGGAAAUUCUGUUAGAAAAUGAUUAGGAUGAAAGAUAAAACACAUGAGAUCAAUAUUCUAAUUAAUGUAAUUAGAUAAUACUAAUAGAUCAAAUUAUAGAGAAGAAAAUUCUGCCGUCGAGAAAUGACUUCCCUAGUAAUAAGCAUAAACCAUGACAUACUAAUUGGACAAACAACUUAAAAUAUUAUAACUUAUUUUUUUAACAAAAGAUAAUCAAAUCAAAUUGUUUAAACUAUAAGCUAUCAUGUAAAUAAGAUUGGUUUGGUAGAUUUUUGUUUGUGUUUAUUCUCAAUUUGCUGCAAAUAUGCAAUUGCUCAUCAAAUAAAGCUCAAGGACAUAGAAUUGAAACGAAAUACAGGAUAUUUUAGUUGCAUACGUCGAGUAAAUUUUAUUAUUUUGUAUAAAAAUGUAAUGCAAUUCUGUUUUUUUUUUCUAAAAAUUUAAAUUUAGUGGUCAGAAAGUUGUGUAUGUUUGAAUGGAUAAUUUUUAUUUGGAGAUGUAAAAUUUCUUUUUUUUACCAAUUGUCAAAUAGUGUAGAGGAAUUAUAAUAAUUUGUUAAUGUUUUUUGACAUAUCAGUGCUAUAGUAUUGUAGUGUGGCAGAAUUACCAGUCAUGCCUUCACAUGUUACUGCACCAUUUUUUAUGUGCAUUCCAUGUAAUGCGCGACCUGUUGUUGCUUCAUCCAAUCCUGCCAUUUUUGAAUUCCAUUAGCAGCUGCCAAGCGAGCCGCACAAUGUGCAGCUUGCUUUUCUUUUCACGUUGCAGUCUUCGCAUGUCCGAGUUGAAUGGGUAUCCAACUAUCUCUAAACUUUUUGAUUUUAUGUGACCAAUUAUGUCACAAUGAUCACAAUUUGGAUUGGAUCCGCCUCGCCACUUUUGUUUUCUGCCACUAGAAUCGAAUGCUGCUCCUGCAUCUAGUUUGUAGAUGAUCCACUAUAGUAGAAUUGUGGCUUUGACAUCAGUGAAUUGCUCAUUGUCAAGGCAGCUAAGAAAAAGAUGAACUUUUUUAUCUUCUUCUCUUUUCAUAAAUUCCUUGGAGGCUGAUGACGGGCUAUUAGUGCACAUCAUUUAGCAUGAAAAAUCGUCGGAUUCUGAGAAGAAUCAAACAAGUUAGAAGCAUUUAAGUGAAAAAAGCUUAAAUAAUUGCUUUUGGGUGGAGAAAAGGACAUAGUGAAAAAAUUGGUGAAAAAAGAAACAAAAAACACGCUGAAGUUUCUGGAAAAUACGCGCCAACAACGUCCCCACGCUAUCUUCUAAUGCGCCCGCGCUGAAAAGUAUCACGCCCGCGUUGAAGCAUUGAUGGCACAAAGCGCUCGCGUUGAGAGGCAGCGCGCACGCAUUGCAGUUUUUCGACACGUUUAACAUCCGCUUUAUAAGGAAAAGGUAGAGAAAAAUAGGAGUUCGACCAAGUCCUCAAAGUGACGUUUUGCUGCAAUUUUAAUUAAACAUGAGUAGUUAGAUUCUCCUAGUUUAGGUCGAACUUGAUGAUGAACCUGUUUUACUUUAUUGAGACAUAUGAUCGGAUGAUGUUAAUGUAUUGUUCUAACUUAUUGUUAUUAUUCAAUUAUUGAUUGUGCACAUUAUGUUUUGAUUGUUACGUCAUUGGAAUCGAUAUUGAUAAAUAUUGACUACUGACCCUAGGGCUAUCUAUUUGAACUAAUUUAAUUGUUGAAUUCUCUAAUUGACUAGGGAUAGUAUGAUUAGGAAUUGAAAAUAAGGGACUAACGCACUCUAUUGCCUAAUUUGACGGGACAAUUGGCCUGAGGGAUCGGGGAGUUAACGCUUAGAUUAGUGAGCUAUACGUCAAGGGAUUGGGUAUAAUGAUAGAGUUAGUCUGUCGUAUAACUCUGUAGUCAGUGCAUGUUUGUUAAUGCGUGUUUCAUUAAUCAACUAAAAUUAUGAGAUUAUGAUAAGACGACUUGACCUCUUUUCUCACUAUCGCUUUAAAAACAUUUUCUUGCAUUUUCGACUAAACAAAUCUUAAAAAUCCCCCCGUUUACUGUUUUAAUUUACAUCACAUAAUAUUUCUUGUUUAAAGUUCGCAAUCCCCGUAGAGACGAAUUUUAUUUUCAUUACUUUGAUAACAUUGCUAGUACACUUGCAGGGUAAUUUUAUCAUCUAGUUUUUGACGUCGUUGCCAGAGGCUGUUUACAUUCUCAACAAGGCAUAGUGAGUUACUUGUUUUAUUUUUAAUUUUUGUUUAAUUUUAAUUUUGUUAAUCUGAUUAUUCACUAUUGUUCCGAUCUGACCCAAUGUCCAGGCAUGACCCAAUCCACUUUUGCACCCAGAAGGCCAAUUAGCCUUGGCACAACCAGUGAGGGCAAAGGGAAGCUCCUUUCCUCCUGUCCCUCCGCCGAGGACACAUCCUCACCUGGCCAACGGACCAGCGAACCAACGCUACCCUUGGCCAGACCUCCACGUAAGCCGACACCAAGACAUCCCUUUUGCUCCUCCGUCAGUGACAGAUGGACACUUGCUCGCUGGGCACCGUUGCUUCCUAGAAAUGCAUCUCUGUCUCGCCUCAACGGCUAGUUUCGGGCAGCCUUCCAGAAUUUCUAGUUUUACGCCUAGAUUCCCGUAUGUCACAUAUUUUGUGCCUGGAUCCUUGAUCCAACCGAAAUAUGGACCAAUGGUCAAGUGUUGGGGACAUUAUAAAAACCCUCUCAUAUGGACCAAUGACCUAUUGACUUUUGCAUUGGAGUGCCUUAUAGGUACACCACCUUCCUUUAAAUUACCAACAUUAUACGCGAAGUCGCUGGCCCACUUUCAGGUUCUAGUCAACCGGUAAGAUCAUUGGCGCCGUUUGUGGGAACAUCUGUUCUCCCCAUCUUUCUUUCCUUGGAAACCAAAGAUCCAAACAGUUUUUCAAGAUUUCAACCAUGGCCAGUCACAACGACAACCGCAAUGUUCACCCCUCCGUCAUUUCUCCCGAGCACCAAACCAACCUUGCCAGCAUGAAUCCCUUUUUGGAGGACGCAGUUCCUCCGAAAAGGGACGGAGCCACCGCAUCCCCCUCUCUGAACGGCGCACACGAUCUUGGCACUCAGUUCGAUGACACUGGCAAGAUCAAGAAAGUUCUGGAGGAUGCACCUGAAAUAUUCAAGCAGAUUCCUAUGCCGACCAAUGCCGACAUUAUCCUAGCAGUCUUGGUCGAGGCAUUCAACAAGACAAACUCCUUAAUCAUGCACCAGAACAAGAGGAUCAGAGCACUAGAGAAAGCACGCCUUUCUAGAUCUCCUCUGCGGAGACACUGAAGAGAAUCCCGGAGUCCAUCAUUGCGACAUAGAGAGCACCGCUCGACUCACGAGGAACAAGAAUCCCUAGGUGUCAAGAAACAUGAUUGCAUACCUCCCCGCAGGAGCCCGCGCUCCCCGGUGACAAAGGACCGGUUAAGAACUCCUUCUCCUCCCCCCCCCGCUCGACUCGAAGGACCGGUUAAGAACUCCUUCUCCUCGCCAAGAACGUGGUCCUCGAUACGGUAGAUGCAACACAUCUCCUGCCCGAUCUCCUAGCUCCAGCAACAAAGACGUGCCUCGGGGCCCGUCGUCUCUUGAAAUAAUGACUACACGACUACCUAAAGGAUUGGAGAAGCUCCACCUCUAGGCACCUACGACGAAACAAGCGACCCUGACGAGCACAUCAAAAAUAUCGACGCUCUCCUCAAUUAUCGUGGCGUCAAGGGCGCCAUCAAAUACUGGUUGUUCCCCAUAACACUAAGAAAUGGGGCCAUGUCCUGGUACAAGAGCCUCCCUUAUGGGUCCAUCGCCUCGUGCAAAUAGUUAGGGAGGAUGUUCUUCAAACAUUUCACAGCUUCUCACCUACAUCCGAAAUCAGAUGCCUCACUCGAGAUGAUAAUCCAGGGAAAGGACGAGUCCCUCCGGACAUAUAUUAAGAGGUUCAACAAAGAAGUCGUCCUAGUCUCCACGACAAAUGACAUGAAGAAAUAUCUGCUCAAGCGAGGCCUGCGCCCCCGCGGCAACUUUGCCAAGGUAGUUGGCAUCGAGACCCCUCUUACCCUGGACACCCUCCUCCUCAAGGCCAAGACAUACAUUCAAUACGAGAAAAAUGAAGUAGCCAAUACUGCCCGAUAUUCGAGACACCAGAAGAAUGCAAAAUCCUCGAGGCCCGGUGACUCCUCGAUAUCUCAUAGGGGAGGAUACAAGAACAAAGAGGAAAGAUCCCAUGAAUCUUGGGAAUACAAGGGACAAACUGGCCGUUUUCAUGAGUACACGUCGCUGUCCGCCUUACGAGAAAAUAUUUUCCGAGUGCGCCAAUGCAGUUUUCUGUGAGGCUGGGGUUCGCUUUCCCCGACAAACGCUAGCAAAACCAAACAAAAACAAGACUAAAUACUAUCAGUUCCACAAGAGCCACGUGCAUACCACUGAAGACUACAUCAACCUCGAGAAUGCCAUCGAGAUCCUGAUCUGAGACGAGCAUCUCAAAAAAUACACAAAGAAAAGGGAUGAUGCUCGGCAGGAACCCUGAGAAACGAAAAAAUUUCGGGAAAGAGAAACCCCCUUUAGAUGAUGUCAGUAUGCCCGUAUCCUUGAGCGUAACACGACUAGAGGACUUCUACGUCCCAGACGAAGACGCGCUCCCCUUAUAUCUAGCAACACAUAGUCCCCGGGAGAACUUUACCUCUGCCUUGGUCAUAUCGGGUGGGAGGGAGCAGCAAGAUGACCGUGGGCUCGGUCAAAAGAAAAUUCGAGCAACCCAUUAGUACAAGCUCCAACACUAGUUCCACCCUUAACAAGAUCCGAGGCACCUCCGUUCCUAUAGCUUUUUUCUGAGAGGAACUCCCCGGCGGUUCCCUUAACUCAAGCAUUCCCCUGCUCGUACUGGCACAAAUGACGAACUUUGAUUUCUGAGGCAUUUUAGUUAACCAAGGGAGCUCGGUCGAUAUCAUGUACUCACAGCUAUUCUCCAUGCUGCAAUUGGAUGAAACAUACCUGACACCAUACGUAGGUUGUGACCUACAAGGUUUCAAUGACAGUUAUAAAGCCGUGAGGUACGUAGAACUGCUCGUCACAUUCGGGGCCGCAGAAAUGUCUAGAUCUAUCAAAGUUCAAUUCCUGGUGAUAGACUACCCCUCACUUUACCAGCACAUCCUUGGCAGGCCGAUGCUGGCCGAACUGAUACUUGUGCCUUCCAUAGUGCACAUGAAGAUGAAAUAUUACACCUCCAAGGGUCUCUUCGCCACCCUCCACGGGGACAUCGAGGCUGCAAGGAGAUGCUUUAAGGCUGCGUCGAAGGGGCUAAACACCAUCAGUGCGCUGGCAAAAAACAAGCUCGAUCUGCCCAACAGCUCCGAAGAGCCUAGAUCAUUACCUUGCAUCGACUGUGAAGUCCACUUGAGGCCUUGGAAGUUCCAUUUCCUUGAGAGAAAUCAAAACCCUAAUUGGAGGUCCAUUGCUUAGGAGGCUUCUUGAAACAAACUGUCUUGAAUAUUUGAGGGCAAAUUUGAGUGUGCAACAAACCUCAUCUUCACAAAAUUUAUGAAAUUAAUUUGAGGUGUACUCCUUCCCUCGAUCACUUCUCACUUCUCAGCAUCUUUAUAAAUAUGCCACUUUGUUUUUCAACUAAUGCUUUAAAUUUCUUAAAGAUUACAAACACUUUAGAUUUUUGUCUCAUGAAAUUUACCCAAGUCAUGCGGGUAAAGUCGUCAAUAAACAUGAUAAAAUACAUAUUUUGUCAUGAGACAAAGUAUUCAUAUGGCCACACACAUCUGCGUGUACAAGUUCCAACACUUGUUUAGCUCUCCAUUCACCUUCCUUUGGAAAUGGUUGCCGGUGGUGUUUUCCAAGCACACAACCUUCGCACACACCCAAUUUUUCUUCGAUUCUUGGCAGCCCAUACACCAUCUUCUUUUGAUAGAGUAACUUAAGGCUUUCGUAAUUCAAAUGCCCAUGUCUCCUGUGCCAUAAACAUGAGUCAUUUUCUUCUCUAGCCUUCAUGCUUACAUUUUUCUCAUAGUUGAAAGAUAGUGGAAAGCUCCUGUUGGUAGUCAUCUUCACAACAACAACACUUCUUCUUUCUGAGUCAAAAAUUCUACACUCUCUAUUCUCAAAGUUUAGUGAAUAGCUGUGCUUUAGAAGUUGUCCAAUGCUAAGAAAAUUUUCGUCUAAUUCCGGCACAUAAAGCGUGUCAUGUAUGACUUUGCUUCCUUGCUUCGUGGUGAAUCUAAUGCUUCCUUUCCCUUUCACUUCGACAUGUUCUCCAUUGCCCAAUUUAAACUUUGAGCCGAAUGAAGAAUCAAUAUUUAUAAAUGCUUCCUUUUGUCCGGUCAUAUGGUUGCUACAGCCGUGGUCUAAAUACCAAACAUUUUUACCUUCUUCAUGCGAUGCUUUUUGACAAGAAAAAAACAAAUUUCUUUCAUCAGAUUCUCCCUUUGCGUACAAAGCAUGUUGCUGAUUUGCAAGACGACAAUCCUUUUGAAGGUGCCUGAAUCUCUUGCAAUUGUGGCAUUACGGUUUGCCUUUGUUUCAAUAGUCCUUCUCCUCAUGAGUGUUGAUGUUACAAAUUUUGCACCAUUUGUUUGAUGCUUCAUUCCAUCUUCCGCCAUUUGCGACUCUUCCAGAUAUUCCACGUGAGUUUCAACCUCUUCCUCCGCCUCUUCCAAAUCUGUCACCUCUAGAAGACUCACCUCUAGUUUGUAUUUGGUGCUUAUUUUCAUCAUUGUUGGGCUGAAUGUUGAGUUUAGAUUGAAAGGCACUCUCAAUUGAUUUUUCAGAAUGUUGUAACAUCCUUUGCUCGUAAGAUCUCAAAGACCCCAUCAACCUUUGAACAGUCAAGGUUGAUAGAUCCUUGGUUUCUUCUAUCACACCCACCAUUGGGUUAAAUCUUGUUGUCAAACUAAUCAGAAAUUUGUCAACAAUUCUGCGAUCUUCUAUCGUAUCACCAUGCGACUUCAUCUGAUUCGCCAACUCGGAGAGCCUGUUGAAGUAUUCGUUCAGGCUCUCGUUCUCCUUAAUCCUUUCAUUUUCAUAAUCUCUCUUAAGAGAUUGAAGCUUCACCGUUCACACCUUUGAGUCUCCUUCGAACUCUUGUUGUAGGAUACUCUUGGUUUCCUUCGAUGUUUUAGCUCUCAUAAUCCUUGGAAAAUGGAUAGAGAGACUCCUCUUUGAAUCAUCUCGAGAACUUCAGCAUCUAUGAUCUUCUUCUUCAACUCUUCAAACCGUUGUCUUGAUUCUUCAGCUUUUUCUUUUAAUUUUUCAGCCUCUGUUGGUGCCGGUUCUUCAUACUCAUUUUAGACAUACCCUAGAACAUCCAAAGAUGUGAAUAGAGUCUCCAUUUUAACAAUCCAAAAAUCAUAGUUCUCUCCUUCAAAUAGAGGAACUUUGACAUUGCUGUAAGUUAUGGAAGGGUUGUUUGUGGAAGCCAUAACUUUUGUUGUUUUUGUUGCAACUGCAAGGAUCUGCAGCUCUGAUACCACUCUGUUGGUGGUAUUCUAGAGGUGGUAUGUGAUAAAUUAUAGUGUUACAGGAUUGUGCGGAGAAAAAUUAAUUUUCGUCACUUUUUGCACUAUACUUCUACUGGUGGAUGACCAUUGAAAAACUCUGCUUUUAUUGAAUUCACCACACACUUCUUUCUCUCAACUUAGCAUUACUAAGCCUUUAUAUAGG